UACGGGUGGGGCAAGCGUUGUUCGGAAUUACUGGGCGUAAAGGGCUCGUAGGCGGCCAACUAAGUCAGACGUGAAAUCCCCAGGCUUAACCUGGGAACUGCGUCUGAUACUGGAUGGCUUGAAUUCGGGAGAGGGAUGCAGAAUUCCAGGUGUAGCGGUGAAAUGCGUAGAUAUCUGGAGGAAUACCGGUGGCGAAGGCGGCAUCCUGGACCGACAUUGACGCUGAGGAGCGAAAGCUAGGGGAGCAAACGGG
Molecule: ribosomal RNA, 253 nt
Filed under: uncultured bacterium
Lineage: Bacteria
Description: partial 16S ribosomal RNA
Rfam family: Bacterial small subunit ribosomal RNA
Source: RNAcentral